RNAcentral lists this ribosomal RNA (497 nucleotides) under uncultured bacterium. Its description in RNAcentral is "partial 16S ribosomal RNA". It matches the Rfam family "Bacterial small subunit ribosomal RNA", at positions 28 to 507 of the family's 1533-position model. The record is from RNAcentral.
GAUGAACGCUGGCGGCGUGCCUAAUACAUGCCAGUCGAGCGAACAGACGAGGAGCUUGCUCCUCUGACGUUAGCGGCGGACGGGUGAGUAACACGUGGAUAACCUACCUAUAAGACUGGGAUAACUUCGGGAAACCGGAGCUAAUACCGGAUAAUAUAUUGAACCGCAUGGUUCAAUAGUGAAAGACGGUUUUGCUGUCACUUAUAGAUGGAUCCGCGCCGCAUUAGCUAGUUGGUAAGGUAACGGCUUACCAAGGCAACGAUGCGUAGCCGACCUGAGAGGGGGAUCGGCCACACUGGAACGGAGACACGGUCCAGACUACUACGGGAGGCAGCAGUAGGGAAUCUGCCGCAAUGGGCGAAAGCCUGACGGAGCAACGCCGCGUGAGUGAUGAAGGUCUUCGGAUCGUAAAACUCUGUUAUUAGGGAAGAACAAAUGUGUAAGUAACUAUGCACGUCUUGACGGUACCUAAUCAGAAAGCCACGGCUAACUACGUG